This 651-nucleotide non-coding RNA is filed under the name Gossypium arboreum. Its description in RNAcentral is "Eukaryotic large subunit ribosomal RNA". It matches the Rfam family "Eukaryotic large subunit ribosomal RNA", at positions 432 to 1407 of the family's 3401-position model. The record is from Rfam by way of RNAcentral. Lineage: Eukaryota; Viridiplantae; Streptophyta; Magnoliopsida; Malvales; Malvaceae.
GGCGAUGCGCCCCGGUCGGAUGUGGAACGGCGAGAGCCGGUCUACCGAUUGGCUCAGGGUGUGGACCGACGUGGUUCGUGGUGGCGGCCCAAGCCCGGGCCUUUGAUACGCCUAUGGAGACGUCGUCGCCUCGAUUGUGGGAUCCAGCACGCGCCGUCUCGGAGUGCUUCGGCACCUGCGUGCUCCAGGCGUCGGCCUGCGGGCUCACCAUUCGGCCCAUCUUGAAACACGGACCAAGGAGUCUGACAUGUGUGCGAGUCAACGAGCUAGAAAACCCGUAAGACGUAAGGAAGCUGAUUGGCGAGAUCCCUCACGGGUGCACCGCCGACCGACCUUGAUCUUUUGAGAGGGGUUCGAGUGAGAGCAUGCCUGUUGGGACCCGAAAGAUGGUGAACUAUGCCUGAGCGGGGCGAAGCUAGAGGAAAAUCUGGUGGAGGCCCGCAGCGAUACUGACGUGCAAAUCGUUCGUCUGACUUGGGUAUAGAGGCGAAAGACUAAUCGAACCGUCUAGUGUCAUGGACUUAGAGUUUAGCCAAGCAAUCCGUGCGGCCUCAAGCAUUCUUUCGCUAAAAAAGGCCUAAGUCAGCCUAUCUCGCAACAAUUAAGGAUCCUUCGCUCAAAAACGCCUAAGUCAGCCUGUCUCGCAACAAU